Molecule: ribosomal RNA, 402 nt
Filed under: uncultured bacterium
Lineage: Bacteria
Description: bacterial SSU rRNA
Rfam family: Bacterial small subunit ribosomal RNA
Source: RNAcentral
UUUUGGACAAUGGGCGCAAGCCUGAUCCAGCAAUGCCGCGUGAGUGAAGAAGGCCUUCGGGUUGUAAAGCUCUUUUGUCAGGGAAGAAACGGUGAGCUCUAAUACAGUUUGCUAAUGACGGUACCUGAAGAAUAAGCACCGGCUGACUACGUGCCAGCAGCCGCGGUAAUACGUAGGGUGCAAGCGUUAAUCGGAAUUACUGUGCGUAAAGCGUGCGCAGGCGGUUAUGUAAGUCAGAUGUGAAAUCCCCGGGCUCAACCUGGGAAUGGCAUUUGAGACUGCAUGGCUAGAGUGUGUCAGAGGGGGGUAGAAUUCCACGUGUAGCAGUGAAAUGCGUAGAGAUGUGGAGGAAUACCGAUGGCGAAGGCAGCCCCCUGGGAUAACACUGACGCUCAUCACGAA